GAGUGAACCGGGAUGAGCUCAAAUUUAAAAUCUUGGCGUCUUUCAGGCGUCCGAGUUGUAAUCUAUAGAGGCGUUUUCCGCGCCGGACCGCGUCCAAGUCUCUUGGAAUAGAGUAUCAAAGAGGGUGACAAUCCCGUACUUGACGCGACAACCGGUGCUCUGUGAUACGUUCUCAAUGAGUCGAGUUGUUUGGGAAUGCAGCUCUAAAUGGGUGGUAAAUUCCAUCUAAGGCUAAAUAUUGGCGAGAGACCGAUAGCGAACAAGUACCGUGAGGGAAAGAUGAAAAGCACUUUGGAAAGAGAGUUAAACAGCACGUGAAAUUGUUAAAAGGGAAACGAUUGAAGUCAGUCGUGUGAAAGGUAUUCAGCCGUCUCUGGCGGUGUAUUUGCCUUUCACGGGUCAACAUCAGUUUGAUCCGGUAGAAAAAGGCGGGAGGAAGGUGGCACCCUCGGGUGUGUUAUAGCCUCCUGUCAUAUGUGCCGGACCAGACUGAGGAACGCAGCUUGCCGCAAGGCCGGGGUUCGCCCACGUACAAGCUUAGGAUGUUGACAUAAUGGCUUAACAGCUG
This 568-nucleotide ribosomal RNA is filed under the name Vishniacozyma victoriae. RNAcentral describes it as "partial large subunit ribosomal RNA". It matches the Rfam family "Eukaryotic large subunit ribosomal RNA", at positions 91 to 646 of the family's 3401-position model. The record is from RNAcentral. Lineage: Eukaryota; Fungi; Basidiomycota; Tremellomycetes; Tremellales; Bulleribasidiaceae.